AGAAAUGAAAGACUGAAAUUUUAGGACUUGCCGCUAAGAUUGGGUGGUUUUUGGAAAAUGGAUCUCUGAAGGAAGUUGUAGGUGCGUGAAAUAGAAGAGGUGAGGGAAAGGUUUAUGUUCUAUUGCAGACAGAGGAGGAAAAAGAAGUUGUUGCAGCCAUGUAGUGUGUGAGAGAGAAAAAGGGAAAAAGUUUUCCAGUUUCAUCUGGAGAUUUGUUCAUUUUCCAGUUUCAGAAAAAAUGACAAAUGGGUAUGAGUUUGUGUGAGAAGGGUUUCUUUUCUUCUAUUGAUUUUGACUAGAAGUUUGGAUACAUUGCUUGUUGAAAGAAGGAUUGUGAGUUUGUGGAGGUAGGUUUCAUUCAGUUGCUGUUCUUGGUGCUUUUUGUAGAGAUGUAGUUGUUGUUUGUUAUGCGGCUGAGUGAAAAUGUUGAUUUUCUGGAAAAUGUAGCAACUGAGAUGACAAAGACGAACCCAGCUUUGCCCCCAACUGAGAUGAUGAGGAAGAACCUCGCAUUCGUAAUCUGAUUUCAAUCAAUUACUUAAUCUCAUUCUACAUAUUAAACAAUCAAC
Molecule: long non-coding RNA, 569 nt
Filed under: Vigna radiata
Lineage: Eukaryota; Viridiplantae; Streptophyta; Magnoliopsida; Fabales; Fabaceae
Description: long non-coding RNA (VRAD_LNC003777)
Source: RNAcentral